CUCAGAGCCAGCCGACUGUGGACUGAAACCUCUGCAAACUAUCCUGGUGUCAGACACUGUGUCCAGCAAUGGGGCAGGUAACUACUGAGGAAUCCGACCACCACUGUCCUGAUGGAGACCAUGCUAACCCUACAGCUGCACUCAGCACGUCAGCCCGCGCUAAGACAUACGCAGCUCGGUUCCCAGGGCUCAGCAGAAGGACGAGGGCUACCGGGAAGAGGGACUGGACUGGUCUGGAAGACACAUGAAGAAGAUGCCCGGAGCCAGCAGAGUGAGGACUGGCUCAGUCCUUGUGGGCAAGCGACAGGGACACGGAGGCAAGGAACGAGGGAGGGCCCUGCAGGAGGCCAGGCUCCAACUUCCACUUCCACAUCCUUCCCAAGUGGCCGUGAGCCCCAUGCAGGGAAGAACCAAGUGCUGCCCAGUGAGAGCCCUGGCUUUAGCUGGGCACGCGGGCUCUGCUCAGUCCCUGCACAGUCACACACCACCCACUGGACCUUAAAGUGUUUGUCAAGUGCAUCCUUCCUAUAGAAUAGCAGCACUUCCAGGCAGCUACAACUUGUACCAAAGGAGCGUGUGUGUGCUGCAUUCCUCCAGCAUCCACAAAACCUCAGGGGCACCCCCCCUCCCCAGUCACAACAACCCUUUCCGGCCCCAAAGGCAACUCCCUGGGCACUGUGCAGUGGCAACAGACAGACACAACUGGAGCCUUUUCCUCCGCAUAGCCUCAGUCAGGGAACAGGAAGGCAAACCUGCUUUUCCUUCUGCCCCUGGACCAGGGAACAGAGCUUUGGGAGCAGAACUCGAAAAUUUCACUCAUUUGCCAACUGGACAAAGGAGCCCAGUUAGGAAUUUGUCUCAACACCAAAGGCAUCACUUUGCACCAUGAGUGUGAGUGUGUGUGUGAUUCCACUGAUUUUGUUUUUCUUGUUUCA
Non-coding RNA from Heterocephalus glaber (naked mole-rat), 935 nucleotides. The record is from RefSeq and is a predicted model, not a curated record. Lineage: Eukaryota; Metazoa; Chordata; Mammalia; Rodentia; Bathyergidae.